Molecule: non-coding RNA, 399 nt
Organism: Malus domestica (apple)
Lineage: Eukaryota; Viridiplantae; Streptophyta; Magnoliopsida; Rosales; Rosaceae
Source: RefSeq, a predicted model, not a curated record
AAAACCAAGUUCGUCUCUUAACUCAGUUUAGACAUCAGAUUAAAAUUGAAGGCGCUUUACAUGUAUUCCGCUGGAUUCUACAUCUACUCCACCUUUGCUUUGGUGUUUUGGGAACAAGGCGUUCUGACUUUGUAGUGUCAAUGUCUCAUCAUUUAGCAACUACGAUUUUAAUUGUGGCGUCUUACAUAUUCAAGUUUUCUCGAGUAGGCUCGGUCAUUUUAGCUCUCCAUGAAGGAUCUGAUGUGUUUUUAGAAAUUGUGAAGUUGUCAAAAUAUUGUGGCUUUGAAAUGCUUGCCGGCAUUGCUUUUGUUAGUUUUGUUCUCUCUUGGACGGUACUACGCCUUAUUUACUUUCCAUUCUGGAUAAUAUGGAGUACCAGGUUAGUUAAAUGUGCAGAGA